AUUGAACGCUGGCGGAAUGCUUUACACAUGCAAGUCGAGCGGCAGCACGGGGGCAACCCUGGUGGCGAGCGGCGAACGGGUGAGUAAUACAUCGGAACGUGCCCGGUCGUGGGGGAUAACACUUCGAAAGAAGUGCUAAUACCGCAUACGACCUGAGGGGGAAAGCGGGGGAUCGCCAGACCUCGCGCGAUUGGAGUGGCCGAUGUCAGAUUAGCUAGUUGGUGGGGUAAAGGCCUACCAAGGCAACGAUCUGUAGCUGGUCUGAGAGGAUGAUCAGCCACACUGGGACUGAGACACGGCCCAGACUCCUACGGGAGGCAGCAGUGGGGAAUUUUGGACAAUGGGGGCAAGCCUGAUCCAGCCAUUCCGCGUGAGUGAAGAAGGCCUUCGGGUUGUAAACUUCUUUUGUCAGGAACGAAAAGGUUCUCGCUAAUACAGCGGGCUAAUGACGGUACCGUAAGAAGAAGCACCGGCUAACUACGUG
Molecule: ribosomal RNA, 484 nt
Filed under: uncultured bacterium
Lineage: Bacteria
Description: partial 16S ribosomal RNA
Rfam family: Bacterial small subunit ribosomal RNA
Source: RNAcentral